CCUACGGGUGGCAGCAGUGGGGAAUAUUGGACAAUGGGCGAAAGCCUGAUCCAGCCAUGCCGCGUGUGUGAAGAAGGCCUUCGGGUUGUAAAGCACUUUCAGUGGGGAAGAAAGCCUUGGGGCUAAUACCCUCGAGGAAGGACAUCACCCACAGAAGAAGCACCGGCUAACUCCGUGCCAGCAGCCGCGGUAAUACGGAGGGUGCGAGCGUUAAUCGGAAUUACUGGGCGUAAAGCGCGCGUAGGCGGUCUGAUAAGCCAGUUGUGAAAGCCCCGGGCUCAACCUGGGAACGGCAUCCGGAACUGUCAGGCUAGAGUGCAGGAGAGGAAGGUAGAAUUCCCGGUGUAGCGGUGAAAUGCGUAGAGAUCGGGAGGAAUACCAGUGGCGAAGGCGGCCUUCUGGACUGACACUGACGCUGAGGUGCGAAAGCGUGGGUAGCAAACAGGAUUAGAUACCCCUGUAGUC
RNAcentral lists this ribosomal RNA (465 nucleotides) under Vreelandella stevensii. RNAcentral's name for it is "partial 16S ribosomal RNA". It matches the Rfam family "Bacterial small subunit ribosomal RNA", at positions 338 to 795 of the family's 1533-position model. Lineage: Bacteria; Pseudomonadati; Pseudomonadota; Gammaproteobacteria; Oceanospirillales; Halomonadaceae. The record is from RNAcentral.